This 204-nucleotide long non-coding RNA is filed under the name Musa acuminata (dwarf banana). RNAcentral describes it as "long non-coding RNA (MACU_LNC010829)". The record is from RNAcentral. Lineage: Eukaryota; Viridiplantae; Streptophyta; Magnoliopsida; Zingiberales; Musaceae.
UUGGCCUGGUUUUAAGUCCUUUUGCUUGUAAAAAUGUAAGUUCGAACAAGUUGCAGCGCUAUAGUGCGACAGCUUACCGAACCGAGCAAAACAGCCCCAAAACAGCUCUGUUUUCGCGUGCCAUAGGUUGUUUUCUACAGCUUACUGCCGCAUGCGAAACGUCAGCCGUCUCAACACCCUAAAACCACCCGGGUGGCACCAUGG